Molecule: ribosomal RNA, 253 nt
Filed under: uncultured bacterium
Lineage: Bacteria
Description: partial 16S ribosomal RNA
Rfam family: Bacterial small subunit ribosomal RNA
Source: RNAcentral
UACGUAGGGUGCAAGCGUUGUCCGGAAUUAUUGGGCGUAAAGAGCUUGUAGGCGGUUUGUCGCGUCUGCUGUGAAAUUUCGGGGCUCAACCCCGAACUUGCAGUGGGUACGGGCAGACUAGAGUGUGGUAGGGGAGACUGGAAUUCCUGGUGUAGCGGUGAAAUGCGCAGAUAUCAAGAGGAACACCGAUGGCGAAGGCAGGUCUCUGGGCCACUACUGACGCUGAGACGCGAAAGCGUGGGGAGCAAACAGG